CCCGACUACAUGAAGCUGGAAUCGCUAGUAAUCGCGGAUCAGAAUGCCGCGGUGAAUACGUCCCCGGGUCUUGUACACACCGCCCGUCACACCAUGGGAGUCGGAAAUGCCCGAAGUCUGUGACCCAACCGCGAGGAGGGAGCAGCCGAAGGCAGGUCGGAUGACUGGGGUGAAGUCGUAACAAGGUAAC
Molecule: ribosomal RNA, 190 nt
Filed under: uncultured bacterium
Lineage: Bacteria
Description: partial 16S ribosomal RNA
Rfam family: Bacterial small subunit ribosomal RNA
Source: RNAcentral